GUGGGGAAUAUUGCGCAAUGGGGGAAACCCUGACGCAGCGACGCCGUGUGAGGGAAGAAGGCUUUCGGGUCGUAAACCUCUGUCAGAAAGGAAGAACCUCCCAAGUCCGAAUAGGGCUUGGGACUGACGGUACUUUCAAAGGAAGCACCGGCUAACUCCGUGCCAGCAGCCGCGGUAAUACGGAGGGUGCAAGCGUUAAUCGGAAUCACUGGGCGUAAAGCGCGCGUAGGACGCUUUGUAAGUCGAACGUGAAAGCCCUCGGCUCAACCGGGGAACUGCGUUCGAUACUGCGAGGCUUGAGUCCUGGAGAGGGUGGCGGAAUUCCGGGUGUAGGAGUGAAAUCCGUAGAUAUCCGGAGGAACACCGGUGGCGAAGGCGGCCACCUGGACAGGUACUGACGCUGAGGCGCGAAAGCGUGGGGAGCAAACAGGAUUAGAUACCCUUGUAGUCC
This 451-nucleotide ribosomal RNA is filed under the name uncultured bacterium. RNAcentral's name for it is "partial 16S ribosomal RNA". It matches the Rfam family "Bacterial small subunit ribosomal RNA", at positions 354 to 796 of the family's 1533-position model. The record is from RNAcentral.